Molecule: ribosomal RNA, 408 nt
Filed under: uncultured bacterium
Lineage: Bacteria
Description: bacterial SSU rRNA
Rfam family: Bacterial small subunit ribosomal RNA
Source: RNAcentral
UGGGGAAUAUUGCGCAAUGGGCGAAAGCCUGACGCAGCAACGCCGCGUGAGGGAACGAAGGCCCUAGGGUUGUAAACCUCUUUCAGCAGGGACGAAGCGAAAGUGACGGUACCUGCAGAAGAAGCACCGGCUAACUACGUGCCAGCAGCCGCGGUAAUACGUAGGGUGCAAGCGUUGUCCGGAUUUAUUGGGCGUAAAGGGCUCGUAGGCGGUCCGUCACGUCGGAAGUGAAAACCUAGAGCUUAACUCUGGGCCUGCUUUCGAUACGGGCGAACUUGAGUUCGGUAGGGGAGACUGGAAUUCCUGGUGUAGCGGUGGAAUGCGCAGAUAUCAGGAGGAACACCAAUGGCGAAGGCAGGUCUCUGGGCCGAUACUGACGCUGAGGAGCGAAAGCGUGGGGAGCGAACA